UGAAUUGACGGGGCCCGCACAAGCGGUGGAGCAUGUGGUUAAUUCGACGCAACGCGAAGAACCUUACCAGGGCUUGACAUCCCCUGACCGCGUAUGAAAGUACGUUUUCACCCUCGGGUGACAGGGAGACAGGUGGUGCAUGGUUGUCGUCAGCUCGUGUCGUGAGAUGUUGGGUUAAGUCCCGCAACGAGCGCAACCCCUACGUUUAGUUGCUAACGCGUGAAGGCGAGCACUCUAGACGAACUGCCGUUGACAAAACGGAGGAAGGUGGGAUGACGUCAAAUCAUCAUGCCCCUUAUGUUCUGGGCUACACACGUGCUACAAUGGCCGGUACAGACGGACGCAAAGCCGCGAGGUGGAGCAAAUCCUAAAAAGCCGGUCUCAGUUCGGAUUGCAGGCUGCAAUUCGCCUGCAUGAAGUCGGAAUCGCUAGUAAUCGCAGGUCAGCAUACUGCGGUGAAUACGUUCCCGGGCCUU
This 476-nucleotide ribosomal RNA is filed under the name uncultured Pelotomaculum sp. RNAcentral's name for it is "bacterial SSU rRNA". It matches the Rfam family "Bacterial small subunit ribosomal RNA", at positions 907 to 1382 of the family's 1533-position model. The record is from RNAcentral. Lineage: Bacteria; Bacillati; Bacillota; Clostridia; Eubacteriales; Desulfotomaculaceae.